Lathyrus oleraceus (garden pea) is the source of this 2279-nucleotide long non-coding RNA. RefSeq lists it as uncharacterized. NCBI's taxonomy places the organism in Eukaryota, Viridiplantae, Streptophyta, Magnoliopsida, Fabales, Fabaceae. The record is from RefSeq and is a predicted model, not a curated record. The transcript is spliced from 5 exons.
UUGGAGCAGAUGAACAGGUGAGCGACCACUUCUCUUCCUUUUCCUUUGGACUCAACACUUUUAUAGCUUCGCUUGGGUUCUCCAGAAUAGCUCUGAUGGCUUUUGUUGUGGUGUUCUUAGGGGUUCGUCUUCUUCCCUUUUGAACUGUCGCCGUUAAAAGAGUUUUCUUCGUGUUCAAAGGUGGCGGCUUGAAAUCAAUAGGGUUUCGAUUAGAAUUUUUGUUUAGGGUUUUGGUCGUGUUCAAUUCCUCUAGGUUUUUUGAGUGGUAGCCGCUCUUCUCCAAAUACUGUUUUUUUUUAGGGUUCUCCUUUUCGGCUGAUCCUCAAAAUCUCCUUUUUAUAUUUGCAGAUUAGGGUUUUCAGUUUGGGAUUCAAAGGUUCAAAAGAGGAAUUUCCUGGCAGUGUUUUUGAUGCUCAGAAUUGGACUACAUAUUUCGAUGAUUGGACUUGAAAAAGUGAAAUUUCGGGUAACCUGGAGGCUGAGGACAAGGUUGAGGUUCAAGGUGGCCCGCUGGAGGUUUCAUGGAGCAAAGGUGAUGGAUCAAACCGCUAGUCAACAACGGUAGAGUGUUUUGCCAUAAGCUUCUCCUGCAAAUCUCUCUCCUUGGCAAUAACUUCCUCCACCUUGGGUAAUAUUGGUGUGGCUUGUGGAGAAGACUGCAAGAAUGCUACAGGUGAUUUUAACUCCUUUGUGAUCUCUUUCAGCGAGCUAUUAACUGAUUUUCGGGUUGCUUUACACGCUUGAAUAUCUCCUGACCUGAAAUUUUCCUUGUGAUUUCAAUAACAUUGAAUUGUUGAAAAUUUGUUGCUUCUGUCAAUGCCUUUCUCUUUGCAACAUUGCGUUUCUCCCAUGCCUGUGGAACUGUUCCUGUACUUGUUGGAACCCUGCAAUAAUUUCCUUUUUGAUUUCUUCCAAGCAUUUUCACCAUUUGCUCUUUAUUUCCUUGUUUUAACAAGAACACCAUUUUCUUUAUUUCAGGUACAUGCUGAGCUGCCUCUUUUUACCUCUGGUGACAUGUCUAUUACUUUCAGUCUGCUGCUGUGAAAAUUGAGCCGUGAAGCCAGGACUAUGCAUAGCCUUUGCUAGGAAGGACAUCAUCUGUUGCUGAUGCUGCUCCAUCACCUGCCCACGUUGCCCAACAUUUUGCAAUUGGUUAUCAGUCGUUUGUUGUCGCUGCAGUAUUCGACCCCUAAAAGGUUGGCAUGAACGAGGAGUAUUUGAUGCCGCUUGAAACUUGAUCGCAUCCGUCAGGAAACCUACUUGAUAAUUGUAUAGAAAAUGCACUCGGUUCUUAUCUGAUACCACCAUGUUCACACUGGUAUCUGCUCGACUUAUUAUGAUAUGCCCCAUUGUCAGCUUCAGUAACAUAGCCUCUAGCAAAAGCAAUAUCCAAAUUGCUAUCAGAAUCCAUUCUCCGUAGGCCAUGGACGUGUUUUUGAUCCUCGUAGACCAAUUGAUAACUGUUACUAUCAUUAAUAUUGAAGUCCAUUCUGUUUUUGAAGAGUGAUGAAUUUGUGGUUGUCUUGCAAAAGUUGGCAUGUUCCUACUACAUAUUUUUUAAAAUUAAAUGUAUCUGUUAUUCCACUUUUAUGGAAUGUGUCCUUGACAAACUUUUUGUUUGAACAUUGUUUCAGGGUUGGAAAGAUAUAUUUGGUUUUAACCUUGCAGCCAUGGAUCAUAUCCAGCAAUUGUUGGCUUCAAGAUCAGAUGCCCUUUUCCAAGAUGCAAGAUCAAAACUGCUUGAGAUACGUGCUCAACAAUCCAAACGUUUACAAGACAGAUCAGAUACCGGAGAAUUCUUGCGGAAGAAGAAAAAGAAGACAUAAAGUAUUUUGUUUUGUUCCGGUCAUGAUCUUGAGCUGAAUUAGUAUAUGUAUUUGGUCUGGGGUGAGAGAAAUCUCAGUGUUUCUCAAAAGCAUAGUCAGCAAUGUCAAACAUGACUGCAUUAAAGGACUGAUAGAGUUUACUGAACUUCGGGCAAUAUCCAGCACAACAGACUUUAUUUUCUCAGCAUGUACUUGAAGAGAUGGUAAAGGCAAUUUGACCAGUACAGUAAGGCAUCCAAGAGAAGCAGACAAUAUGUCCUCGUACUUCGAGGACAAACCAAUCACUUAAUAGCUUGACAAAAGGAUCUAAUAAGGAUAAGGCAUUUUCAUCUUUUACACCCUGUUUCAAACCCUUCAUACGUUUAUGUAAUAUUCUAAUACCAAACCUGUUAUCAGAUGUGAGCAUAAUAAGCCACUAGCAACUACACGGCCUGAAAAUAUAUUUUUUUAGCA